GGGCCCGCACAAGCGGAGGAACAUGUGGUUUAAUUCGAUGAUACGCGAGGAACCUUACCCGGGCUUGAAAUGCAUUCGACUGGGUCGGAAACGGCCUUUCCCUUCGGGGCGGAUGCGUAGGUGCUGCAUGGUUGUCGUCAGCUCGUGCCGUGAGGUGUCGGCUUAAGUGCCAUAACGAGCGCAACCCCUGUCGUCAGUUGCCAUCGGUAUAAGCCGGGGACUCUGGCGAGACUGCCAUCGUAAGAUGCGAGGAAGGUGGGGAUGACGUCAAAUCAGCACGCCCCUUAUGUCCGGGGCGACACACGUGUUACAAUGGGCGGUACAGCGGGAAGCUACCCGGCGACGGGGAGCCGAUCCCGAAAUCCGCUCACAGUUCGGAUCGGAGUCUGCAACUCGACUCCGUGAAGUCGGAUUCGCUAGUAAUCGCGCAUCAGCCACGGCGCGGUGAAUACGUUCCCGGGCCUU
This 465-nucleotide ribosomal RNA is filed under the name uncultured bacterium. Its description in RNAcentral is "bacterial SSU rRNA". It matches the Rfam family "Bacterial small subunit ribosomal RNA", at positions 917 to 1382 of the family's 1533-position model. The record is from RNAcentral.